UGCCCAGCAACUCCUAUCCCUACCUCCUCGUGGUACCGACCGGGGUACGAGUAACCUUAGGGAAGAACUGGUAACCAACCCUGGUGGGAACUUUGGUCGUAUGCUGACAGGGAAGG
RNAcentral lists this ribozyme (116 nucleotides) under Aedes aegypti (yellow fever mosquito). Its description in RNAcentral is "drz-agam-1 ribozyme". It matches the Rfam family "drz-agam-1 ribozyme". Lineage: Eukaryota; Metazoa; Arthropoda; Insecta; Diptera; Culicidae. The record is from Rfam by way of RNAcentral.